Molecule: long non-coding RNA, 1463 nt
Organism: Oreochromis niloticus (Nile tilapia)
Lineage: Eukaryota; Metazoa; Chordata; Actinopteri; Cichliformes; Cichlidae
Exons: 5
Source: RefSeq, a predicted model, not a curated record
ACUCGACACAGAUCUUAGCUAGGUAAGUUGUGAUAAACUGUGGGUAAUUUGCAUGUUCACUGAAAUAUUAAUCAGCUGAUAUUAAACUUGAAAUGUUUUCACAGAGCAGUCUGUGUACCAAGAGAACUACUUCUGCAAAGGUUUAUUUAAUUUUUUUUGUGACGUAUUCUCAUGUGUAAGACACUUGCUUGGCCACCCAGCUAAUGUUAGUACUGCUCUAUUUUAGCAAUGUAUCCUUUCUCUAAUUAAUUCAUUUUUUUAACCCUAUUCUCGUAAUUAACUCAAUAUUAACGACUUUAAUCUCGUAACUGAUUUUUUUUUCUAAAUAUGGUGUAAUACUGCCUCGUAAUACAAGUUAUUUCUUUGGUCACAAAUUAUUUUUGUAACCAUUUCACCAAAACAGACCUGAAAUAAUCCCUACAUGUUCCAUUUUCAUUUGCAGAAAUUAUAAAGCCAAAAACCAAACCAUGCCCUUCCUGUCAGGCUCCAAACACCUGCAACAGGAAGACAUGCAGUGGAUGCCUGGGCAGCCUGAACGUAAAGGAGGGAUUGAAAAAAAAAAAACAAGAACAGCAACUGGGCUGCCUCUGUUAAAAAAAAAAACAGAAAUGCGAGCAGGGUGGUCAAUUCAGCCCAGUUAUCAGUAAGGUUUCAAAACUACACGCCCUGGGCUACCAGCCUAUUCUGUUUCUUGGACAGUUUGACCGAAAGGGCCGUAUAGUAGGGGACGUGAUCACAUAGAGCCAGCGGAUGGUGCUGCACGUGACAUCCUCAUGAAGAUGAGGAAACUUUAUGAACACCUUCUGAGAAAAUUACAAGCUUCACCUCCUGCUGAAAGUUCUACACCAGCAGCUGGACCAUCCUCUGCUGACAGUGUCGAUGCUGGACCAGUCCCAGACCCAGAGGCUCUAAACUAAGAAUUUAUUCUUCAUUUAGAGCCUGAACCAACAUCUUCCCUCUGUCAGCCUCCUGUAUCCUCCUCUUCAUCUCUGCUUCCUCCUGCAUCCUCCUCUUCAUCUCCGCUUCCUGCAUUUCCCUCAAUUUCUACGGCGUACACCUCGGAUGUCCCAAACAAAAAAAGGACAAGGAAAGAAUGCCAAAAACACCGUACACAGAAGAUUUUCAAAUAUGAAGAGAUAGUAGACAGGAGAGUUGUAAAUGAAAAAGAAGUUAAAGUCAAGUGGAAGCCCUGCUCGAUAUGGUAUGUAGUAACAACUUUGUUGGACCGGAACAGACAAUUAUAUUGUUGAUAAAUAGUUAUCACCUCAGUUUGAAUUCAUGUAUUUGGACUAAAGUAAAUUGGGAGCUUUUAGCUUUUAGCUGAGGAGCUUGAUAGCAGUCCACCUCCAAAGUUCAUUAUGAGAUUUGGAGGUGGACAUGGUCAACACUUUUAAGAGUAGGCAUAAGACUUUACUUCUUUAUAGAGCUUAUAGUUAGGGCUGGUUCAGGUCAGCCUUUAGUUA